GUCUACGACCACAUCAUGUUGAAUACACCCGUUCUCGUCUGAUCACGGAAGUUAAGCAGCAUCGAGCGAGGUUAGUACUUAGAUGGGUGACCGCUUGGGAAUACCUCGUGCCGUAGACG
This 119-nucleotide ribosomal RNA is filed under the name Trichoplax adhaerens. The record is from RNAcentral. RNAcentral also lists the same sequence under 1 other name. Lineage: Eukaryota; Metazoa; Placozoa; Uniplacotomia; Trichoplacea; Trichoplacidae.